This is a long non-coding RNA of Pezoporus flaviventris, 353 nucleotides long. RefSeq lists it as uncharacterized. The record is from RefSeq and is a predicted model, not a curated record. Lineage: Eukaryota; Metazoa; Chordata; Aves; Psittaciformes; Psittacidae. The transcript has 3 exons.
GAGUCCAUUUGAACGCCCUGUAAACUGGCACUGUAGGUUCUCACCUGGUCCCAACCACAUUGGAAGCCUAAGUUGUGUUUCAGAAAGUUCCUAGGUCUAGAUUGAUGGAAGUUCUUGCAGUCAUUCUCAUUGUAGUGUAAAGUUUAUUGAGUCACCAGUUCUGGAAAUUCAUCUCUUAAUUUAUUUGCAUAGGAUAACUGAGGUGUCUGUUAAGUGCCUGGGAGAAUCCAUCUUAAUCGCGGCAGAGCUGGACGCAGCUUCCAGGACUGAAGAAUCAACAGAACUACAGUUUCAACAACCAAUUGUUUAAAUUGUGAAGAAAAACCAGCAAAAAAGGUAAUCUUUAUUCUUUU